AAAGGUUAAGAGUAAACUAUCUAAUCAUCUCCAUCUGAGACCUGAGAAGGAGAAAUGUUGCCUGAAGAAACAGGAAAUUCAGAGCUAAUAGGUUCCAAUUCUAAAGAAAUGACAGAAAUUGUUGGCUACCAGACAGACAGUCAGCAAAUUUUUCCAUGUCAUUGUGUCAUCUACCCUCACAUGAACAUGUCAGGGCCCCUGACAACAAUCCUUUGAAGUAGGUCACUUGAAGGACUAUCCUCUUUUUUUUCUGCAAAGCCUGGGACAAUAGACUUCCCCAUCAUCCACUUCUCCACAGUCUGGACAACUUUCUGGCAGCAGUGGAGGUAAGUGGUUGGUAUUUCACCCCAUGGCCACUUUGCCACAUUUGAAGGGAACUCCAGUUAGGGUUCUUUAGUUCCCAUCAUCUUCUUCAGACAGACUGGGGACACUGCCAGGAGUUGAGGUCUCUCCCACUGUGAAAAGCCUUUAACUGUUUGGACAUCAGAAAUGGCAGAUUCUUCAGAUCUCUAAAGGAUUUGAGAACCACCUUUUUAUGUAAAGUCUUCCUCAGUGGACAAACGUGGCUUUUUUUCAAGGGAUUUACUUUCUCUAUACCUUUGAAUACAUAUAAAAGAAGCUAAAUAAAGCUCAUUUCUGUACCAAAUGAACUAGUACCUAACAUCACUAGAACACUGAUUAUUUAUAGUUGGAUAGUACUAUUUGCAUUCCUUAAUUAUCCAUGGCAGUGUACAGUAGUAAUUUUAUACAAUUAGAAUUAUACACCACAUUGUGAAUAAGAUGCAGAUACUUAUAUCUGAAACAAGAUUUCAAUCAUUUAUGCAAAUACAAUUUUAAAUUCGAAAUCCAUGACAUCCUGAAAUAUUUGAGACUUGGUGUUGCUUUCUAGUACAAAAAGAGAUUGAAUAACCUAUGCUUUUUUAUCAUUUUAGCCCCUUUCUCCUCCUUCCCCAAACUUCUAGAUAGGAGAGUAAAGGGUUGAGGAGGGAAAGAGAAAAUAAGUUAGACAUCCCUGAUUCUAAUCUCCUUUACUCUUUCCUCACUGACCAUGACUAGUAAAAACUAGCAACCAACCCACUAAAUGACAAUAAAAAUCUAUGACCCACUGCAGACAAAUAAUCAGCUACACAUCCUUCUUUUGAGAAUGAGGGUGUCAUGUUCUCUAAAGUUGUAUCCCUAUGAGUGUGGGGUGACAACAAGUUUUGGGGACCUUACAAUAAUUGGGAUAUUUUCCAAAUCCUGUGAGAUCUUGCAGUUUCAUAUGCUUCCAAGUCCUGAAUGUGGAGGGAUUAACUGAAGUCCUGGCUACAUUAACAAUUGAAAAUACAAACACACAUUCAUACAAUUUGAGGAAGGUCACACAAUAUCUACCUCUUGAAGUUUGCUCAAAACAAUUGUUCAGUUACUUUUUAUUUAGCUUCAGGUAUCUUCUUAGUAUACAGGCAGAAACGAGACAGAUCGUUUGCUAAAAUAAUGUUAAUAGCUUCUAAGCCAGUCACGAAUAGAGUCCCUGCAAUCCUUUGAAGUCUCAUUAGAGAGGCUCUAUUUUGCACACUACUCACAAUUCUUAUGUCUCCCGUGUAGCAAACUAAAAUGGACUGUUAUGAUCUGCUUACAUAUUUCAAAAGUUUUCCUAAUCCAAAGUAUUCCACCCUCCUCCAAAAAACACGAGAUUCCUCACAAAAACAAGUCCACUCCCUCUGGUACCAGUUUAUAUAUCAGUCACAUUUCUGUUACUUCAAAACAAAUACCAUGACCAAAAGCAUGUCAAGGAAUACAGUGUUUCACGUUGUGGUAGCCAACCCCCAACUACAAAAUUAUUUCAUUGUUAAGUCAUAAAUGUAAGGUUACUACUCUUUUGAAUGGUAAUGUAAAUAUCCUGUAUAAAGUAUGUCUCCUAUGUGAUUGCCCCAGGAAGUAGUUGCAACCAACUGGUUGAAAACUGCACCUUAUGUGCGGAGGUGGUGGUUGUGGGUUUUUGGUUUUCUUUUGUUUUUACUUUGGCCUCUUUGUCAAAACCGAGAUGCUGAUGAGAACAUACACCAAUAUCUGCGUCCUUUAUUAUCUUCCUUUAGACAUUGUGUUUGUUCUGAUUUUAUCAAUAGGCUGGGUUUCUUUUUUAUUAUUCCCCAAAAUGAACUUGAAAUUAUUAAAGAUGAUGCGUCCUGCAGUGUUUUACUGUCUUACUAUUUGCCAGUGUCUGACAGCCCUUCAUUUAUGCUUUCCUUGGUUGAGAUCUUUUUUUCAUUCCCAUGAAGCCCUGCAUCACAAUUAGGACGGGAUGGAUUUAAACUUGCAGACGAUUCUGGUAGGAAUUCGAUAAAAAAUAUCAGUCACAUUGAUACAUGAAAACGAGAGGUGUCUUCAUUUUCUUCUUUCUUCAGUUUUUUCUUAUUUUUCUUAAUGUGUUCUUCGUAGCAAGUCUUCAGUUCCUUAGAUUUAUUACAAAAUUUUUAAGGCUAGUCUGAAUGGGUUUCUUUUCUUGGUAUGUUUGUUGAUAUUUAUUGUUGGUAUACAGGAAUUUUAUUGACUUUAAAGUGAUUUUAGUGAGUGGGUCUAUGAGCUGUAGGAGUUUUCUAGUGGAAACAUCGUGCUGUUUAUAUAUGGAUCAUAUCACCUGCAAAUCAGAAAAUUCUGACUGCUUUCCUUCAUAUGGACAUGGCCUUUCCAUCUUUCUAUUUUCUGUUUUGGAUAAGAAUUCACAUACUACUUGGAUUAGAUGAAAAGAUUGAACACCUGUGACUUAUUACUGAUCUUAGGGAAAUGCAUUAAGAUGUUCUCCAGUUAGGAUGCUGUUGGCCUUGUAUAUUUUCUUCAUAAUGUUAAUGUAUAUCUUCUCCAUAUCCCAGAUUCUCCAGGACUAUUUCAUGUAUCACUGUGAGAUUUUGCCAAAGAAAUUGUCUGCCUCUAGUCGAUGAUCAUGUGUUUCUAGUUCUUGGUUUCAUGUGGUGUAUUGUUUAUUCAUUUGUAUUUGUUGAAAUAUUCUUGCCCCUCUGUAGUCAAGCCAUCUUGAUCAUGGUACCUGAUAUGGUAUAUGUCUGAAUUUUAUUUGCCUAUAUUUUAUUGAGAAAUUUUUCAGUUAAGUAUUCCUUCCAAUCUUUGUUUUAUAGGCUGUGAAGAGACACCAUGUCCAAGGGAAAUUAUAGAAGAAAGAAUAUAUUGUUGCUUUCAGUUUCAAGGAUUCUGAGCUAUGACUAUUAUGCUGAGGUACAUGGCAGCAGGCUGCGAAGAGAUACCAUGAGCAAGGGAACUUUUCGAAGAAAGAGUUUAUUGGGGCUUACAGUUUCAAGGAUCAUGAGUCUGUGAUCAGUAUGCAGGGGUACAUGGCAGCAGGCUGUGAAGAGACACCAUGACCAAGGGAACUUAUAGAAGAAAGAGUAUAUUGUUGCUUACAGUUUCAAGGAUUCUGAGUUAUGACUAUUAUGCUGAGGUACAUGGCAGCAGGCUGCAAAGAGAUACCAUGAGCAAGGGAACUUUUCGAAGAAAGAGUUUAUUGGGGCUUACAGUUUCAAGGAUCAUGAGUCUGAUAUCAGGGGUACAUGGCAGCAGGCUGUGAAGAGACACCAUGUCCAAGGGAACUUAUAGAAGAAAGAGUAUAUUGUUGCUUACAGUUUCAAGGAUUCUGAGUUAUGACUAUUAUGCUGAGGUACAUGGCAGCAGGCUUCGCAGAGACACCAUGAGCAAGGGAACUUUUCGAAGGAAGAGUUUAUUGGGGCUUAUUGUUUCAAGGAUCAUGAGUCUGUGAUCAGUAUGUGGGGGUACAUGGCAGCAGGUAGGCCACCAUGUUUCUAGAGAACUAGCUGAGAUCUUACAUCUUAUCUGCAAGUUGGACACAGAGAAAGGGAGAGUUAAAUAUAAAUGGUAUGGAAUUUGGGAACCUCAAAACCCAAUCCCAUAACAAUCCUACAAAAAAAAAAACAUAUCUUCUACUUCUUCCCGCACAUUUCCUCUAAUCAGCAACAAACAUUCAUACAUGUGAGUUUAUGGGAGCCACUAUCCUUCAAAAGACCACAUUCUACUCCCGAUUGUCCAUAGGAUCUUAAACAUAUCGUAAUGAAAAAUGCACUUAGCUCGCUUUCCAAAAGCCCUAUAGUCUUUCACAGUCUACACAGUUUGUCCAAAGAGCUUCAUAAAACUGCAGGCAGUCCCUUAAUUAUUCCCUCUAUGAAAUCAAAUGGCCAAUUAUACACAUCCAAUGUGUAAUGCCAAAUCACAUAUGUUAUCAUUGCAAAGGGAAAUUGGGAAGGUGGCAAGCCAAUUCAAGGCAUAAUCCCAAUAGCACACACUCCACAUUCUCUACCUCUGACAGAAGACGAAGAGAUUAUAUGGGUUCACUUCUCUGGCUUUGGUGAUUGUAACAUAAUUCAUAAACUUUUAUUGUAUCAUAUAGAUCUGUGGAUGGUGGUUGUGUUUUCAAUGUCACUCAUUUCUAGGAAUCUUAAUAUUUCCUUAUUUUUUUCUCACCUGAUCCUUCAGUAGUGUAUUGUUUAUGUUACUUACUUUCCAUGAGUGUGUGUAUUUUCUGUACUUUUAAUUGUGUGAUACCAGUUUGAUUCCUUUGGGCUCAGAUAGAAUGCACAACAUUCUUCAACUUUCUUAUAUUUUCUGAGGCUUAUUUUUUUCCUAAUCUGUGGUCAAUUUUAGAGUAAUGUCCACAGGCUGAUAGAAAAUAUAUGUAUAGUUCACUGUAGUUUGUUAGUUCCAUUUGCCUGAUCAUGUCACUUAAUUCUGCUUCUCCUAUUUUGUUUAUUUGCAUAUGAUCUCUUAAGUUGUCAGAAUGGAGAAGUAAUAAACAAAUCACAACCACUAUUAUAACUAAUCUGUAUUUUCACUAUUAUAACUAUCUGUAGCUAUCUGAUAACAUAUAUUUUUAAAUUUGGGAAGCCUUUGUUAAUAUGUAUAUAUUUAGAAUUGUAGUAUGUUUUAGUAAUUGCAAAGUAUGAAGUGAAUAUCCUUAUAUCUUCUGGACAGGAUGAGUUUGAAAUCUAUUCUGUCAACUAGAUAGAGAAACUGCAUAGGAUUGCUAAAGGGACAUGGUUCUUUGUUCUGUUUCCCUAGUAUACCCUCUAUAUCUCUCAUGAUGGCAAUCCUGUUUCAGGCGAAAUAUAUGAUUGUUUACUAGGGAAUUGAGGUUAUUGAUAUGUAAAUAUUAUUUAAACUUCUGUGUUAACUAUUGUCAUUUUGUUAAUUUUUAAGACUUUUGUAGGCUACUUUUGAUUGACUGUCCUAGUGGUGGAAUUUUUUUUCCUGUGUCCUCUGGUAUUUUAUCCUUCCCUGCAAAUAAAGUAUUCCUAUUAGGAUCCUCUAUAGAGCUGGCUAUUGGUUAUACAUAGUUUUUAAUUUAUUUAUAAUAUCACAUAAUAAGCACAGUAGCUGUGCAGCUGCCUUUCCUGCAUGGAAUUAGGUCUAAUUUCCAAACAAUGACUCUGAACUCUUUCUUACAAUGUGGCAUCUUGGCUGCUCUUUGUUCUACUUGGACAGCCCUCAGGACCAGGCUUUCCUCUGUCUAAACCCAUGGCUGCUGACCUCCUUCCUCUCUCCUCUCCAUCACAUCCAUUCUUCCUUUCUUCUUUGGCAGCUUCUUCUUCCUUCUUCCCUCCUGGUGAUCCUCUCUAGCAAAGCCCUCAAAAACUCACUGCCACCAUCUCUCUGCUGUGCUUCUUUAUAAUCACAAUUAACUGGGAGCAGAGUCACUUUUUUGGGAGUUUUAACCAGUCUUACAUUCUACCAAUUAGCUUUAAAAUACAAGCAGAAUUAAGUCAGUCCCCUACAGGGUUUUCUUUUUUCUUUCUUUUUUUUGGGGGGGUUGGUUUAAUUUUUUCUUUACCUUUUUACUUUUUAUUUGAUUUUUGGCUAUCUCUUAUUAAUUGUUUAUUUUAUUUAUUUACAUUUCCAAUGUUGUUCCUCUCUCCAAAAUCCCCUAAUGAAGCCUAUCAUCACAUUUCUGCUCAGCUUUCCCUAUAUAACAGUGCUCCCCAACUCACACAUAUCCAUUCCCACCUCACACCUCUAGGAUCUCCAUUUGGUGGGGCAACAGGCCUAGCAGAGUCAAGGUCCUACAACCACAUUGAUACAAAGUAAAUCAAUUCUCUCAUACACAGUACCUAGGAACAUAGACCCAUAUGUAUACAAGUUGUAUACAAGUUGGCUGGCAGUUAAAUCCCUAGGAGCUGUGGGUUUGGUCACAGAGGGUCUGGUUAGAUAUUAAAGACCAAUGAUUGCUGCUUUCUUUUCCUUUUCUGGUUAUAGAGGAAAUUAUGUUUGUGUUCUUCUCUUUCUUAAAAUUAUUGUGAGAUGAUUAAUUUCUUGGAUUUCUUGGGUAAAAUUUAGUUCGUUGUCUUGUAGUUUACCUCCUAUUAUCCUAUGUUGUGCUUUCUUAGAGAAAAAUAUUGUUUAAAUUUGGUUUUGUCAUGUAAUAUCUUGGUUUCUUCAUUUAUGGUGAUUGUGAAUUACACAGUGUAUAGGAGCUUGGGUCUGCAUUACAUCUGCCCAAGAUUUUCUGGCUAUUAGAGUCUCUAUUGAGAACUCUGGUGUAAUUCAAAUAGGUCUGAAUUCAUUUGGUAAUGGAUAUUUGUACUACCCCCUUUAAUGUUCUUUCUUGGAUCUGUGAAUUUAGUGUUUUAAUUUUUAUGUGAAGGGAGGAAUUUUUCUGGUACAAUUAAUUUGGCAUUCUGUAGGCUUUUUGUAUUUUUUUGGCCAUUGCAAUUCGCUUCUAUAUCUAUUAUCCUUAGGUUUGGCCUUAAAUUGUGUCCUGAAAUUCAUGGAUAUUUUGGAUUCAAUACACCAUACAUUUUCAUCUGAGAUGGAUUCUUUUGCUUUGUGUGGUGACCUCCUUGAUCCCUAUUCUUCCAUUUAUUAUCCCGCUGGAUAAUGAGACAUGAUCAGGAAUGAUGACCUCUUACCAUAAACUAUAUGAAAAUAGGGAGGUGAAUUUAUGUGUCAAGUAUCAGUAGUCUCCUGGAUAGGUUUCCUUCCUGGUUGGCCAUAUACAACAGUUUCAAAAGCCUAUGAUUUGUGUUCCCUGGGAUUCCUACGAUGAUGCAAUCAGACAUAACAGAGAAAGACCAGAAUACACGAGGGAACUUGAUUUAUAUAAUAAAGAGAACAUUUGAAAGUUAGGUUACAAAAUAUCUGAUCACACUGUGAUCUCCAAGAAUGUAUUAUUUAAUGAAAAACUAUUUUGUGUUAUGGCAUCGCCAGGGCACAGACAUUUAUGCAAGAGCCAUUAGUUUCCUGUAAACAUGGACUUUAUUACUGUAUGGCUCACCUACCACACACCUUUAUUGCAAAGUUAAAAAGUGCACUUAGGUCCAGAGCAGAUCAAGGCAGGACUUGAAAGGAAAUGAAGGUAGCUAAGUCAAUGGAAAUUCUUAGAGUUGAAGGAUUUUUAGGAAAGUGUUCAGAGGGACCAAGCAUGCCCUUCGUCUGGGAGGACAGUGAAUUAGGAAGGACAGUUGGGAGCUUUACUUGACGUCAGCAUCUG
Non-coding RNA from Rattus norvegicus (Norway rat), 7483 nucleotides. The record is from RefSeq and is a predicted model, not a curated record. Lineage: Eukaryota; Metazoa; Chordata; Mammalia; Rodentia; Muridae.